GACGAACGCUGGCGGCGUGCUUAACACAUGCAAGUCGAACGGAAAGGCCCUGCUUGCAGGGUACUCGAGUGGCGAACGGGUGAGUAACACGUGGGUGAUCUGCCCUGCACUUCGGGGUAAGCUUGGGAAACUGGGUCUAAUACCGGAUAGGAACCAUCGUUAGUGUAGUGGUUGGAAAGUUUUUUCGGUGUAGGAUGAGCUCGCGGCCUAUCAGCUUGUUGGUGGGGUAAUGGCCUACCAAGGCGGCGACGGGUAGCCGGCCUGAGAGGGUGUACGGCCACAUUGGGACUGAGAUACGGCCCAGACUCCUACGGGAGGCAGCAGGGGGGAAGAUUGCACAAUGGGCGCAAGCCUGAUGCAGCGACGCCGCGGGGGGGAUGAAGGCCUUCGGGUUGUAAACUCCUUUCGCUAGGGACGAAGCUUUUUGUGACGGUACCUAGAUAAGAAGCACCGGCUAACUACGUG
RNAcentral lists this ribosomal RNA (465 nucleotides) under uncultured bacterium. RNAcentral's name for it is "partial 16S ribosomal RNA". It matches the Rfam family "Bacterial small subunit ribosomal RNA", at positions 28 to 507 of the family's 1533-position model. The record is from RNAcentral.